GGACGAACGCUGGCGGCGUGCUUAACACAUGCAAGUCGAACGGUGAAGCCCUUCGGGGUGGAUCAGUGGCGAACGGGUGAGUAACACGUGAGCAAUCUGCCCUUGACUCUGGGAUAACUUCGGGAAACCGGAGCUAAUACCGGAUAUGACACGCGGCCGCAUGGUCUGUGUGUGGAAAGAUUUUAUUGGUCAGGGAUGAGCUCGCGGCCUAUCAGCUUGUUGGUGGGGAAUGGCCUACCAAGGCGACGACGGGUAGCCGGCCUGAGAGGGCGACCGGCCACACUGGGACUGAGACACGGCCCAGACUCCUACGGGAGGCAGCAGUGGGGAAUAUUGCGCAAUGGGCGAAAGCCUGACGCAGCGACG
Molecule: ribosomal RNA, 366 nt
Filed under: uncultured bacterium
Lineage: Bacteria
Description: bacterial SSU rRNA
Rfam family: Bacterial small subunit ribosomal RNA
Source: RNAcentral